Transfer RNA from Felis catus (domestic cat), 85 nucleotides. It matches the Rfam family "tRNA". From Rfam's summary of the family: Transfer RNA (tRNA) molecules are approximately 80 nucleotides in length. Their secondary structure includes four short double-helical elements and three loops (D, anti-codon, and T loops). The record is from Rfam. NCBI's taxonomy places the organism in Eukaryota, Metazoa, Chordata, Mammalia, Carnivora, Felidae.
GCCUGAGUGGCUCAGUUGGUUAAGCAUCUGACUUUAGCUCAGGUCAUGAUCCAACGGUUCGUGAGUUCGAGCCCCACAUCAGGCU